Non-coding RNA from Podarcis lilfordi (Lilford's wall lizard), 2420 nucleotides. The record is from the annotation of a GenBank genome assembly. Lineage: Eukaryota; Metazoa; Chordata; Lepidosauria; Squamata; Lacertidae.
CGCCAGAUCAUGGCAAUGAUAACUGAUAACGCUGCUGGUGAUUUUCCUUCCUCCCAAGCCUCUGAUAUGCCUUAAAUUUACUAUUUGAAGAACUCAUUGCCACAGACAGCUCUAGGAUGAACAGUUCUAGGAUGAGCCUUGCCAGUGCUGUCCCAUUCUCUUCCUGUUUUGUUUUCUCUUUCCAAGCAGCAGAGAGUUCCUGGCAGCCCUUGGGAGAUCAUUUUUAUCUGCUUCCCAGUAAGCCAUAGGCAUUUUAUUACAAGAGCACUUUCUUGUAUAUGUGUAACUGUACAGUGGUACAUCGGGUUAAGUACUUAAUUCGUUCUGGAGGUCCGUUCUUAACCUGAAACUGUUUUUAACCUGUUGGCUACUGUGACAGGAUGCUGGGCUAGAUACACCACAAGCCUUACAGCAGGCUCUACUUACGGUAUGUUCUUAGGUGGUGACCAGAGAAAAGGGCUCCCCAACCCUUGACAUGGCACGUUCUUUAUGAAACUCCCCAUCCUAUCCCACCAUUCUCUUCCUACCAUAAUAGGUGAAAGCAUUUUCGUUUGCCCAUACUUUUUAAUCUUGUAGUUGAACGCCUUAUAUUUUUACUGGUUUUGCUGAAGCUGUAGUGGUUAUGGCUUUAAUGUUGUCUUUGUAUAUUAUAUCUGUGAGUUUCUCUGAAAAAUCAAGGUUAGUGAAUUCUUAUUGGUCUUUGGCCUCAAAAAGUUCUGGCCAUUUAAAAUUCACAAGGACCGGAUUAACUGAUUAACUCCUGAUUAAUCUAUUAGAAAUCUCUGGAUAAGUAUAGACUGAACCCAUUAAGUUAAGAAGUUAGGUUUUCCUCUUUUCUUCUUCUUCUUUUAAAUAGAUGGAUGACUAUUGUAAUGAAUAAAAAUGAACACAAUGUUAGAGGUUUUUAUUAAGUAAUAAGUUGGAUAUUACGCAUGUGGGUGAAGGAAGUCACGGGCAUUUGGGUAUAAGGGGAGGUGGCUGCAGGGUUAGAUUGGGGAAUUUGCAGAAAUAAUAUAUUCAUGUUAUGUAUAAUGUUGAAGGUGUAUGGCAAUUAACAUGUAAUGUGAAUUAACUAAAAAUAAAAUAAAUAAAAUAAAAAUAAAAUUCACAAGGACCACAAAGUGAGAGCAAAUGACCACGUCUCACUGAAAAGAAAGGAUCCAAAUAACUCAUCUAAGACACCUAUUUACAGAACACCCACUUAGUGAUGUUGUGUGUGGUUUUUUUUAAUGGAUUUUUUUAAGCUAAUGAGGUUAACUUGCAUGAGGUAAUUUCCAUUAGGAAAUUUUCAGUUUGCAUGUUUUGGUGCCCUAGAGAGUGAUCUAAUUUAGCAUGAUUGUUUUCUUUUUAUUUGGUAAGCAAACUUUUAAAAGUACUCCAUGCUGAUUUUUUGUUCCAAAUUUUAUAUAAUUAUUUGUGUUAAAAUAUUUUGGGGGGGGGGAUUAAAGCACACAAUGCAGCUUAAAUGUUAUAUUAUGUAGCAGUUUGAAUGGAAUACAGUGGUACCCCUAGUUACAAACUUAAUUUGUUCCGGAGGUCCGUUUUUAACCUGAAACUGUUCUUAACUAGAGGCGUGCUUUCGCUAAUGGGGCCUGUUGCUGCUGUAAUUGUAAAAUUCUUGUACCAGUUUAAGGACACAUCUCUUAACAAUGUUUAACUUAAGAAAACUAAAGGAGGGGAAAAGGAUACUGAAACUGUUGACACACUAAUAAAUUUUAGCAACCCAAAGAACUAUGCAUGAUAUGCUGACCCACAUACUUUCUUUGAAUACUCACCUGAAAGACAUUUACCGGUAAUUACAGCUAUGAAACUGCCUACUAUUGUAUUUACAAAUGGGAAGUUUUUAAUGUUUGAUGUUUUAUUGUGUUUUUAAUAUUCUCUUGAGAGCCGCCCAGAGUGGCUGGGGAAACCCAGUCACACGGGCGGCAUAUAAAUAAUAAAAGUAUUGUUAUUAUUAUAUUAACUGAAUUUCACCUGAAAACUUGCAGGCACAGUGAGCGCCAUUUGAUCUGCCUAUUAACAUUUGCACAAGCCUGUCAUUUUGGUGGCAUUAAGAUAACUUUCCAUCCUACCCUAGUGAAAGUUGAUCACACUGUGCAGAGAAAGGUCACAGCAGCACUUCCUUCCCAGUUAAGUGGUAAUUAGCAUAUUACUUGGUCUUUUGUUUGUCAUGUCCUAUUAAGUAAUCUGUGCUGUUAGCAGUUAUAGAAGUAAUAGCCGUGUUUCUGUUCUCAGCGGAAAUUAUGUUAAGCAAUGCAAAGAGUGUAGUUAGCAAGUAACACAUAAGUGAACUGUGCAUUUCAAAUUAUUUUCUUAUUCCAUCUUAUCAGGAUGGAAUAUAUUUCCAGGGAUGAUAAACGGUUGCUCAUCACAGAAGAAGGUGUGUCGUAAUUGAAAAAUAAAAAUAAAACCUGAGGAAA